AAAUCAUUUCUCAUCUAAUGACAGGAUCACAGAUUCAGACCCAGAAAGACUCUCAGAGGUCAUCUAGGCUGAUCCCUUCAUUUUACAGAUAGGGAAACCAAGGCUCAUGAAGAUGAAGUCACACAGGUGACAGGGGAGUCAAUGGUGCCUGUUCAAAUGCUCGGAGAAUCUGAGAAGAGAGGAUUGGAAUGAUCAGCUCUGGUUCUGCACUGAUGGGUGCAUGAGUCACAAAUGUUUCCACAUGCAGAGCCAGCCAUCAAACAGACUGAGGACCUGUCAGUGGGACCAGUCUCUGCAUCUGAAAAUGAGCUGGAGAAAGGAGUGGCAAACCACUCCAGUAACUUUGUCAAGUCACACAUCUGAAAUGACUGAACAACCACAAGAACAAUAGAUUGUUUGAAGAUGACAGUUAUUCCCUGCCAUGUGAAACAGAAAAGACUACAUGGAAGAAGUUGAGAGAAGAUAAGUAAAUAUAACCACAUCAAAUAUGUAUACCAGUUGCUUUUUGAUAGUUCUAUGCAUUUGCACAAACUGGACCAUUAACCCUUGGAGUAUAAUUAAUUGCCUCUUGACUAUUAACCAUUUAUGUGACCUUCAUAGAGUCCUCCAUUCUUCCUAAGACUCAGUUUCUUCAUUUGUAAAAAGGGGGAGCAAGGCAAGUUCCUUCUAGCUUUAUCUACCUUCCUCAGAACUUUUAAGAUCUCUUUCUUAAGUUUUUUUGACUAUGGAAAUCACUUGAUAACAUUAAUCAUGAAACAAUAAAAGUUCUUGAGAAUGUGGCA
This 782-nucleotide long non-coding RNA is filed under the name Monodelphis domestica (gray short-tailed opossum). Its description in RNAcentral is "lncRNA (ENSMODG00000043317.1)". Lineage: Eukaryota; Metazoa; Chordata; Mammalia; Didelphimorphia; Didelphidae. The record is from RNAcentral.